This 550-nucleotide ribosomal RNA is filed under the name uncultured bacterium. RNAcentral's name for it is "bacterial SSU rRNA". It matches the Rfam family "Bacterial small subunit ribosomal RNA", at positions 355 to 897 of the family's 1533-position model. The record is from RNAcentral.
UGGGGAAUUUUGGACAAUGGGCGCAAGCCUGAUCCAGCCAUGCCGCGUGUCUGAAGAAGGCCUUCGGGUUGUAAAGGACUUUUGUCAGGGAAGAAAAGGGCGGGGUUAAUACCCCUGUCUGAUGACGGUACCUGAAGAAUAAGCACCGGCUAACUACGUGCCAGCAGCCGCGGUAAUACGUAGGGUGCGAGCGUUAAUCGGAAUUACUGGGCGUAAAGCGGGCGCAGACGGUUACUUAAGCAGGAUGUGAAAUCCCCGGGCUCAACCUGGGAACUGCGUUCUGAACUGGGUGACUAGAGUGUGUCAGAGGGAGGUAGAAUUCCACGUGUAGCAGUGAAAUGCGUAGAGAUGUGGAGGAAUACCGAUGGCGAAGGCAGCCUCCUGGGAUAACACUGACGUUCAUGCCCGAAAGCGUGGGUAGCAAACAGGAUUAGAUACCCUGGUAGUCCACGCCCUAAACGAUGUCGAUUAGCUGUUGGGCAGCAUGACUGCUUAGUAGCGAAGCUAACGCGUGAAAUCGACCGCCUGGGGAGUACGGUCGCAAGAUUAA